Non-coding RNA from Bombyx mori (domestic silkworm), 84 nucleotides. The record is from Rfam. NCBI's taxonomy places the organism in Eukaryota, Metazoa, Arthropoda, Insecta, Lepidoptera, Bombycidae.
UUAACCCAAAUUUGUAUGCAGUUGGAACGUUUGCCUACGUUUGGCGCUAGGGGCACUGUUCCAACUUCAUAUAAAUUUGAGUUA